This 166-nucleotide ribosomal RNA is filed under the name Escherichia coli. RNAcentral describes it as "partial 16S ribosomal RNA". It matches the Rfam family "Bacterial small subunit ribosomal RNA", at positions 1 to 158 of the family's 1533-position model. Lineage: Bacteria; Pseudomonadati; Pseudomonadota; Gammaproteobacteria; Enterobacterales; Enterobacteriaceae. The record is from RNAcentral.
UUAAAUUGAAGAGUUUGAUCAUGGCUCAGAUUGAACGCUGGCGGCAGGCCUAACACAUGCAAGUCGAACGGUAACAGGAAGAAGCUUGCUUCUUUGCUGACGAGUGGCGGACGGGUGAGUAAUGUCUGGGAAACUGCCUGAUGGAGGGGGAUAACUACUGGAAACG